Molecule: long non-coding RNA, 5472 nt
Filed under: Capsicum annuum
Lineage: Eukaryota; Viridiplantae; Streptophyta; Magnoliopsida; Solanales; Solanaceae
Description: long non-coding RNA (CANN_LNC000413)
Source: RNAcentral
CUCUCUCAAAACUCCCAUUCGGCCCUUUCUCUCGAUUAAAACUCUCCUUUCUCAAAAUCGGUCCCUCUCUCGACGCUCAACUCAAAGAUCUCUCGUACAAAUUCUAAAUCCGUCAUCUCUUUCAUUUCAAGUAAGGUUGCAAGUUCUAAUUUUUCCUAUUUAUGUAUAGAAUAGAAUGUGAAUAUAUGAAUUUUUGGGGUCUCCUUUAAUUUCUCCAAAAUGUGAAGAUUGUAAAUGGGUAGUUGAGAAUGUUGUUCUAUGCUUUUCGACUUUCUUGUUCUUGUUUUAGAACUGCGUUUAGAUUGUGAAUCUAUGAUUUUCGAUCGAAUAGUUGGGGUUUUUAUGUGAUUUUUUAAAUUGCUUUCCGAAUAGUUGGGGGUUUCAUGCGAUUUUCAGAAUUGUGAAUUUGAUUACAUUUCCGCAUAAAGCUACAAAAUGGCUAUUUAGGAGCAUUUUUUUUUAAUUUUCAAUUAAUUAUAUGUGAUGUUAUCUUUUGGAAGCACUUUUGAGUGUGCUAGUGAUCUGGUCUAUUUUUGUUAAAGUAGGAAAGAAAAUGAAUAUUAGGUUUAUACAAGCUUAAAUGAAUCAUGAUAAAUACGUCGAAGAUCUAAAAGAGAACCACAUCAAAACAACGUGUUUUUCAUUCAAAAACACCUAAUUAUGAGGUUGAGGUGUGCUAUCUAAUUACAGAGAAUAAUCAGCCUUAAACCGACAGAUGCAUAAGUUCAUAUAUGGCUUAUAAGAAGUUAUACAAUUAGGGAUCAUUUGGAUAGAAACAAGUUAUCACGGUAUAGUGGGAUUAGUUACCCCAUAUUCCUCGUGCCAAAAAACUCCUAAGUACGUGUAUUUUCCUUUAUGUAAUAUAACCACAAGCCAUCAGAUUAGUACAUUGAUCAAUCAACCAUUCCUCAAUCUCUACCUAGCUAGUUAGCAGUUUCUAUAUGAAUCCUUGGAACCUACUAAGCAACACUGGAGAUUAACAGUUAGAAUAUCUAUUCAGCUUGAUCCAGAUGUAGAACAAUACUUAUUCACACUAACUAGAAAAAUGCAGAAGUAUAUAUUUUUUAAUAAUAUCCAAGUUUCUUUAGAACCUAUUUUCAUGUUAUGUUAUAUUAUAUGUCCUCUAUAACAACAUAUCUCCAUAGCAUCCAACAAAUAUACAGACAAACUACAAUGUUAAAGAGAAGUUUAACGCUAUAACUUACCCAAAGAGCAACUUUCUUGAACUUGUUCAUAGCUCUAAAGUUUUUGAGCUUAUACGGAACAGCAUUGUCAAGUGGUUUAUCUGGUGCCUCUCCAUCCUCCUUGAUCCAUGGAUGAUCUAUCAUAUUAUAAUAUAUAUAUAUAUACACACUUAAUUAGUUAAAAUUUUGAAUAAUGCACAAAAUACUAUUUCAGUACUUCCAAGUGUGUCCGUAAUUGUUUAAAUAUAUGACAUACUUAAAAAUAUGACAAAUCUAUGGAUAGAAAAAAGUUUCUUUUUAAGGAGUUUUGAUAGUCUUGCAUAGUAAGACUAAAAUAAUCGAGCGUAUAUUGAAAAUAACUUUUUUAUCUCACAUAGGGUUAAGAAGGUCUGCAUCCACCCUACUUAUGAGACUAUAUUAGAUAUGUUGUUGUAGCCAAAAUACCAUCUAGUAAGUCACUCAAAAGACAACUUUUCAUAAAAAAAAUAAUAUGAAUACAAACAAUAAAGUCCUAUACAACAAAAGAGGAUUAAAUGAAUCUUUCUUUUCUUUUUUGCUUCUUCUCAUUAGGCAGAGAAUAAAGGAUCGAGAGAAAACAUUACACAAAACAUAGAUUUACUCUUAAUAGUACAAAGAUUUUAUUAUAUAAAAAAGACAACACUCGUCACACAGAAAUUCACAGCAGUAAGAACUGUCAGCCAAAUGAAAAUCAAUGUCCACCAAUGCCUUUAAACAUGUAGCUUUUUGUAUAAUUUUUGAUAUUGCAAAUGCCAUGACUUGAUCACAGGGAGAGAAAUCCUUUGGUAACUUUAAGAUAGCUUUCAUAAGUUGUCCAUUUCUUUCAUCCUUGAUUCGUGUCGAGGUUUAUUUCAUUAUUUAGAGGUGGGGUGGAAGUUUCAUCAUACAGUAUAAGAGAAUCAGUUGAAGGAGGCAGUUUCUUUUUCACCGAGUACUCUUCCUUCACACUUUUUAUCCCCAUGUCUUUGGAUCUUAAAUCUGCAUUUUUUUAAACUGGUAACUUUGUAUAUAUUGAUAGAAACAGAUCAAUAUUGAAACCAUGACCCGCUCUUUGUCUUACUUCUGAGCUAGAUGGUACACCCUACAAUUUGUAAUUCCACAGGCUAUAUGAAAUCCACCCUUGACUCGGCAUCCAAGCCCCCAAUCUAAGUUUGCCGUAAGGAUUGGAGUAUCUAUAAGGGGGACACGCAAGAUCACACAGUAGGGUGUCAAAAUUCCCAAUCAAAUCAAUAUGUCAUGGUAGUGCACAAGAUCACAAAGAAAGGUUCCUAACCAUAGUCCCAAUUUGGGAUGACAUGAAUCAAGGUACAUAAGAUCACAAAGCAUGGUACCAUAAUCUCGUGUUGGCAAAUCACGAUUUCUAGCAUAGAGUCCUUCAACUCGUACUUUCUUCGAAUAACCAUCUAACUCUCUUUAAGCUAAUUUUUAAACCUUUUUUAAACAUACAUGUUUCAGAAUUCAUAAUCUAAAAAUCUGAUUUCAAACAUAUGCUCUAUUCUGUUCUGAAUUACUAUGGUUUUUUAACUGAGUUGGUGUUGUCACACCAAGACUUGCAAGUCCUAUUUCUGAGUCAUAUUGUACCAUGCAUGAUUCUUUCAUUAAAAUAUAAUUCAGACCACCCAAGCAUGCAAAUAGUAUAGGAAAUUUCAUUUUCCAAGAGCACAAAUCAAAACCAUGCUAAGAUUCUUAUUCUUUCAAUAACCAUGUAGUGGUCAUGUAUUUUUGACAAACAUGCAAUUCUUUCAUUAAAAGUGUAUUCAACGUUUAUCAACAUGCACAACCCUCUCUUUUGGAUUCAAAAUCAUAUUCAAGUCAUAGCAAUAAUCAAGACAUUUCAAACACAAUUCAUAUCAUAUAAAAAAUAGGAAAAUCAUAACAAGAGAGGAAUUCUUUAGGAUUCAUGCUCUUAAUUGCAUAUUUAUCCUUAAACACAUGCAUACAUAUAUAUAGAGAGUUUCAAAUCAAUUUGGGGGAAGGCCUAAAGACCAAAACAAUAUUGAUCAAGGCUUCUAAAACAUGCUAGUAGUCAUAAAUUCAAAACCCCUUUCUUAAAAAUCAUGAUUUCUAAACCAUUAGCAUGAAUUAAAGAUGGUUUCUUUGCCCAUGAAAUUUUAGAAAAACCCCACGUACCUUAAUUUAUGACUCUUGAAUGAACUUGUACUUUAGGGAUGCUAUUCGAACAAUUGAUGGGUGCUUCUUGUAGCCCUCGUAUUGGGGAUUCCAAAUCUCAGAGAAUUAUUGAAAACCCACGGUGAAAUCUUAAGAUAUUUUGAUCUUUGGGUUGAAACCCUAAGAAGUGUUCUUGGUGAUUUUGAGAGAGAAUGACCUUAUUUUGGUGUUUGGGGGAUUUAAUCCCGUGUUAUGGCUGAAUAUGGGGUGAAAAAUAUCACUUUUACCCUUAAAAAUGCUAAAACAGGACCUGAAAAUUGGGUGCAUGCGACAGAGCAUGCGUCGCACGCUAAUCGCACAAUGUUACUAUCUCAGUCAUGAAAAUGGCCAUAACUUUUUGCUUGGGUAUCGUAUUUUGGAAAAAUUGGUAUAGAUGGAAAGAUAAUUUGAAGAUAUUUCAUUUGAUAUAUAGUAGACCCUCUAAUUCGUUAUAUACAAAGAGUUAUGAUCGAUUGAAGUUGACCCAAGUUUCAACACUCACUCAAACUCAAACGAUAGGAAAGCUUUCAACUUGUCCUUGAGUUAGGGGACCUCUAUGAUCUCAAUUCAUGCUCAAACAGGUUCUCAUACUACAUAAUUGAUUAGCAUGCCAAAUUUGCCUAGGAUUUAUAGCUUUUGGAUCAUCUACGCAUAGAAAUGAUGAUUUUCAUUCUAGCCCGAAAUGUGGGGUGUUACAAGACCCUCAUCUUAAGGAAAGAAAAAAAGCAAAGCAACAGAGUUUAGCCAUCACAGAAAUAAAUAUAAAUAAUGUGCAAAGACUCACGUUGAAGAAAAAGAUUACACGAAGAGAAUAAUGAAGAAAUAUUAUAUUCAUGGUUAACGCGAUCGAAAGAUGUCAUCAUGGAAGCUAGUUAUUAUGAAGUUUUGAGUGGAAAUAAAUAAGAGAACGAUACAUGUAUGGAAAAUAUCAUCAUAUGUACCUUGAUUAAUAGCUAAACAUCCAUGACUUAUGGCAUCAUCAUUCUGUCUUCUGAUAUCUUGAGUAAUAUCACUAUGUUCAGAAGCAAGCGUGAUCCCAGAUAUCUCAAAAUACAAAAUCUCAGAAGGUGAGUAGGCUUGAAAGCCUACCACUUCAUCCAUCCAGAUUCCAUCAUCUCUUUUUGUUGUACAACUCCAUAAAUUUAAUGCUUGCUUCUCUGUAUAGAGGUAAAUUAUAUUUCAAUAGAAAUUCUCAAUAGUGCAUCUAUCAUCUUAAUUAGUCCAGUAAACAGAGAGAUUUAUACGUUGCAGUAGAAUAAAUAUCUAACUGACUAGAAAUCUACCUUAUUGCUCCAGUUCUUGCGGUAAUAUGUUCUAAUAUGCCUUAAUGAACUACAAAGGACUAGGAAAUUAGGUUUCUUACUCUCUAGCUAGAUUCCACAAAUGACUGCAUUCAAUGGAGAGCACUACAUAUGGACUAAAUUAGCUCUGUUCCUGGGGAAUUUUACCCUAGUUUCUUACCUUAGGAUUUAGAUUGUAAGUUGUUUUAAGUUGAAUGAAUUUGAUUGAAUAGGAUUCUCGUCAGGUUGAAGUUUUUAUCUGUUUCGACUUUGAUGAAUUUGUUGUUCAGCUUCCUGUGAGUCUUGAGCUUUGGACAUUGUAAGUUUGUUGAGUAUCAAUAUUGAAUACUAAUUAGCAAAAGGCUAAAGAAAGUUUUUGCUUAUGAGAUGGAUAAAUUAACAGACAAUGUAGGGUUAAGCUUUACAUAACAGUACUAAUUGUCAAAGAAAAAAGGGUUAAACUCUUACAUAAAUAAUAUUUUACAAUCAAUUAAUUUGAUAAUCGUUCAUAUUGUUUUGCUGUAGCGGAAAAUUAAUUUACCUUCAUUUAUCAUGUCAUUACAGAGAAAGUGUUUUUAGUGUCCAGAACAUGAACAUCAACGUCAGAUUACUACAAACUUCAGGUUAAAAGCUGCGCGCAUACUUUUUGGGUUGUUUUCAAAAGCUCGUGCAAAUAACAAGAGGCCUAGAUGGAUUCUUCCUAAAAAUUGACAAAAGUUAAUUGACCAUUGGGCGACCGAUUUGAGGUUUAAUGAGCGAGAUUAUCAAGAAAGCUAGAGAUGUGGCUGUGGAGCCCAGUAGUGACGAAAAUGAUGAGGAUUAUUAUAUGGACAAUGCAUCGG